This 120-nucleotide ribosomal RNA is filed under the name uncultured bacterium. RNAcentral's name for it is "partial 16S ribosomal RNA". The record is from RNAcentral.
GAUGAACGCUGGCGGCGUGCCUUAGACAUGCAAGUCGAACGAAGCACCUUGCGACUAUCACUUCGGUGAGAAGCAAUAGGUGACUUAGUGGCGAACGGGUGAGUAACACGUGGGUGACCU